Molecule: long non-coding RNA, 1006 nt
Filed under: Citrus sinensis (sweet orange)
Lineage: Eukaryota; Viridiplantae; Streptophyta; Magnoliopsida; Sapindales; Rutaceae
Description: long non-coding RNA (CSIN_LNC002172)
Source: RNAcentral
CACUAGCCAAUCAUUGAAACAUUCUAGAAACUCCAGCUUGCAGUAUUCACGUGUAAAUAUUCCCCUGCAUAACAGUUUUGCCAGCUCAUUGAAGACACCUCAGCUUCUUCAUCAGCUGGCUGCUGGAUAUGGCUGCUCAGGUGGCAUGCCAACAUGGCCUUGGGGUCAACUGUUGACUCAUCUUCAUAAUCUGAAUUCUGUUGAUGGAACUCUUAUAAGAGAAGUACCGGAAAGCCUUGGUCAAUUAUCCUCACUAAAAAUUUUGGUACUAACUAAUAACGGUUUGAAGAGAUUACCAGAAAGCCUCAAUCAGUUAUCCUCACUAAAACGUUUGGUACUGUCUGAUAACCCUUUGAAGAUAUUACCAAAAAUCCUCAAUCAGUUAUCCUCACAAGAAUAUUUGGAACUGUCUGAUAACCAUUUGGAGAGAUUAAAAAAAAUCCUCUCGGAGCAGCAAAUAUCACUAGAAUAUUUGCUCCGAUCCGGAACGAGUAUCGAGGGAAUACCAGAAUACCUGAGGAGUCUUCCAAGUAAGUUGACAUCACUCAAUUUAUCUGUUGAGUUGAGAAAUUGUUUGCAAUUAGACCCGAAUGAGCUCAUUGAAAUCUUUAAAGAUGAGUGACUUAAAAUUCUUAUGAAUUGCUUAAGUAUGCAAGCAGAGCAGAAAACAAACAAUCUUUGUAUAUUAUGAUAACAUGAAUAAUAAUAGAUAUACACAUCCUUCACAUAUUUAUACUAAACGUGAAAAAUGGUAGCUUGCUCAAAGGGAAACAGAAAUGAAUAAGACAAAAGAUUACAGCUGCACUAGCCAAUCAUUGAAACAUUCUAGAAACUCCAGCUUGCAGUAUUCACGUGUAAAUAUUCCCCUGCAUAACAGUUUUGCCAGCUCAUUGAAGACACCUCAGCUUCUUCAUCAGCUGGCUGCUGGAUAUGGCUGCUCAGGUGGCAUGCCAACAUGGCCUUGGGGUCAACUGUUGACUCAUCUUCAUAAUCUGAAUUCUCAACA